Molecule: long non-coding RNA, 3197 nt
Organism: Vespa crabro (European hornet)
Lineage: Eukaryota; Metazoa; Arthropoda; Insecta; Hymenoptera; Vespidae
Exons: 2
Source: RefSeq, a predicted model, not a curated record
UUCCCAUAAUCACUGGUAUAAAUUCGCCUCUUUGAUAAUUAAGACGUGACAUUAAGUUUUACGAGCUCUUACAGCAAAGUGCAACGUUAAGGUUUACGACUGGUAUAGCCAUCCUGAUAAAUCAUGUUUCACAUCUUCUGGAAAACUUUGAUCAUCCUAUCCUAUUACAUGAUAACAUUGAUCAUGUUUUUCAACCGUAAUAGAGAUGACAGCUACAUCCCGCUGAGAUUCUAAUCAAUUCUUUUGGAUUUGUAAGUGCUCGCCUUUGGACCACUCGAUGUUCAACUACUAAAUCAAGAAAGACAUGGAAUCGAAGAGCUAAGGAGACAUAUAGAAUCUUGUUUAACCUGAUGAUCGACUCACCAUGCAUCUACCUUCUACUGUCUAUAACGUCAAACUCGCAACGGGGUUGAUGUUUUCGAGAAGAGAAAUGAACGAAAAGAAAUACAAAAUUUAAAGCAUAUCCACAAGGCAUGGUAUAACUCCUUUCGAUUGAGGUGAUAUCGUUUCAAAGACCAUAAAUCCACGUCGUAGUUGUCGUUGUCGUCGUCGUAGUCGCGAAACUAAAGAAAGAAAGAAACGAAGCGACAAAGUCUUUGGAUAGACAUACGGCGCACGUAUCAUUGUAUGCAUAGUAGACAGCUGGGCAAUGAACGAAACAGGGAAACGUCCUUCAUAGUGGUCACUUCGCGUUACACUUGCCCGGUUUAGACGACUUAUGACGUGGAUUUACGAGGCACCUGGAGAGUGUAACCGAUCGCACGUAUAACUCCCUUGACAUUCCUUCGAGUUCCCUCGCUAUCAGGCAAAUCAAGCAACGCGUGCCUUCUCGUGAACAGUAUUUGGCUGAAGAAGGAGUCAAACUAUUAGUUGGAAAUUAGCUGGUUUGCGUUAAGAAUAGAUUAAUUAUUCCGGUCAUAGUUGACCUAAUCGUAUUCUAUAACAAUAAAACUAAUCAAAAUAUUAUAGCUUCUUUAUUUAUACAAAACUAAAUUAAUAGAAAAAUGGCUUUCAUCAAGAUAAGGGAUUAUAUGAAUAUCACAGAAUUAGUAUAACUUAAAUGGAUUUAAUAUUGGCGAUUAUUGGUAUUCUCAUCUUUCCUAUCCGAGUUAUUUGCUAAUGCGAAUCCAACUGACUCGAUUUUCUUUCCGAAGAAAGAAAACGUAUCGGUCUCUUCUUCUCCAUGACGUCCACCAGCAGGAUGAGGAUCGCGACGCGGAGGAAUGCUCGAAUCAUGCUCCCUAAUUCUUCGAUCGAACCGAACGAUCGAGAGUAAGAGAAGCCAAUGGCGUGCACAUGUACGAGAAAGACAAAGUCCUUGGCAAGCGACACAGAAGGCAUCCCGCGGAGCAGGUAGCUUCGGAGAGACUUUCUGUCAGCAUUCAACAUUAUCUAAGCCUUUAUCUACCUCUUCGUCUAUCUAACCACCCCGCUCCCCCUUUUCAACUCUGCCUGCCAUCUUCUCCUCUGUCUCUCUGCGGCUUCUAGAAUGUCUGUAUACGUCGCGUGUAUAUAGCCGACCGUUUAUGUAAUAGCAGGUAGGCCUGCCCUAAACGUAAGGAUUCCACCUGUGGCAAAGGAUCUCCCUCGUAAAUUCACAUCGUGGGAGAGUACCUUCACCUUGCGUGGGGUCCAACCACUCGAUGAAUUUUAAUUACUCCAUCGUAGAAAUUUUGAAGAAAAUUCAAGCCUAAUGAAUAACGGUAAUAAGAAAUAUCGCGAGUAACUUGUUUUUAAAAUUGUUUCUAAAACUCAUUCUCGUGGGAGAGUGCACGUCUCUUCUGUGAGGUCUACUCGGAAGACAAAGGUCAGUUUCAUCGUACUAUGGACCGACAAAAUCUUUUGUUUGUCUCUUUGUGACGUACAAAAAAGAUUAAAAAAUAAAUAAUAGGUAGGUUUGAAAUGUCGCCAUUCGAUCUUUUAGUUAAAAUUCCUUGAAAUAUUUGGUGUCGAUAUUCUUAUCUAUUUUACUACCCGAUAUCUUUGUCAACGAGACAGUGGAAUGUAGUUUAGAUGAUCAAUGUCAUUGACGAUACGGCCUUCUGCUUACGAAAUAACUUUAGUUCAUCGUUGCUGCGUGCCAGAAGAAUUUUUAAAUCAAUCGAUAAGUAGGUGCGAUGGAUUCAAAGAAUCCAAUGAAUACUAAUUGUAAGCGUUCUCUCUUUCUCUCUCUCUCUCUCUCUUUCUCUUCGUCACAAAUUGGAUUAAGUUCUGUACAUAUUCAAGAAUCUUAUACAAUCGAUUCAAUAUCCAAUUAUCGUAUCAUUGGAAUUAAGUGAUAAAAGUUUUUUUACUCCUUAAGAUACUCUUAUUAUAAGCUUUCGAUGCUAAUUAUAAUAUUCCCACUUCAUCUCAUAUCAACAAUAUUCUACCGAUAAGAGUCAAUUGAUAAUAUCGAUUGAAAGUCUCACGAUAUCGUGAAAAGCGAAAGAUCGUUAGAGGAUCGUUAGAUUAGAACGCGAAUCUUCCUUGAUGACGGCUCGGUUCGAUGGGGAAGCUCACCUCGUUGUGUUUUUGCUCUGCAUAAAUGAUGAGCCCGGGUAUUUUAAUGAAGACAUUCCAUGGCUGCUUGCCGGCUUCUUGGCGUACGAGAAAGAGAGAAAGAGAGAGAGAGAGAGAUAGAUAAAGUGAGAAAGAGAGAGAAGGAGAGACAGAAGCUCUGCGAAGCUUAGGUCGAAUAGAUAUGUUCUUGAUCAUCAGCUUUUGCCUCCUGCUAUUAACGUAUUGUUAUCUUCAAUCAAUGGAAUAUACAAAGAUGGACGUCACAAAAAUAUUUUCACUAACCUUCUCUUUCACUCUCUCUCUCUCUCUCUCUCUCUCUUUUUCUUACAGCUUUUUUCCCAAUUAGUACAAAUACGAAUGCAUACAUUCAAGUACCAAUUGCAUACAAAUACGAAUCGACAGACAGGCAAGACUUUCCAGUGCUUAGCCAUCUUCGUAUACCCGAUGAAGUCUUGACACCUUAAAGGCUCAAUCGACGCUUUAUCUCGAUUCCCUUUUCAAGAGUAAGCAUACUCGCUUGGUUAACCAUCGUAAAUUCAAUUCGAGUUAUUCGCAUAAGAACGAAAUCGUGAAUACUAUCGUGGUUUUCGAGGUGCCCACAAGAGAAACAACAUUCGUGUGCUUAGCUCGUCGAAUGGUUGAAAGGAUAAAACUAGCUUGGCGAAUAAAAUGGCGUGAACACGCUAAAGAAAAAG